RNAcentral lists this ribosomal RNA (605 nucleotides) under uncultured bacterium. RNAcentral describes it as "bacterial SSU rRNA". It matches the Rfam family "Bacterial small subunit ribosomal RNA", at positions 56 to 677 of the family's 1533-position model. The record is from RNAcentral.
UGCAGUCGAGCGGUAACAUUUCCAGCUUGCUGGAAGAUGACGAGCGGCGGACGGGUGAGUAACGCGUAGGAAUCUACCGAGUAGUGGGGGAUAGCCCAGAGAAAUUUGGAUUAAUACCGCAUACGCCCUACGGGGGAAAGGAGGGGAUCUUCGGACCUUUCGCUAUUUGAUGAGCCUGCGUGAGAUUAGCUAGUUGGUGAGGUAACGGCUCACCAAGGCUACGAUCUCUAGCUGGUUUUAGAGGAUGAUCAGCAACACUGGGACUGAGACACGGCCCAGACUCCUACGGGAGGCAGCAGUGGGGAAUCUUGGACAAUGGGGGAAAGCCUGAUCCAGCCAUGCCGCGUGAGUGAUGAAGGCCUUAGGGUCGUAAAGCUCUUUCGCCAGAGAUGAUAAUGACAGUAUCUGGUAAAGAAACCCCGGCUAACUCCGUGCCAGCAGCCGCGGUAAUACGGAGGGGGUUAGCGUUGUUCGGAAUUACUGGGCGUAAAGCGCGCGUAAGCGGCCAAGUCAGUCAGAUGUGAAAGCCCCGGGCUCAACCUGAUGAACUGCACCUGAUACUGCUUGGCUAGAGUACAGAAGAGGGUGGUGGAAUUUCCUGUGUA